AACGAACGCUGGCGGCAUGCCUAACACAUGCAAGUCGAACGAGACCUUCGGGUCUAGUGGCGCACGGGUGCGUAACGCGUGGGAACCUGCCCUUAGGUUCGGAAUAACUCCCCGAAAGGGGUGCUAAUACCGGAUAAUGUCUUCGGACCAAAGAUUUAUCGCCUUUGGAUGGGCCCGCGUUGGAUUAGCUAGUUGGUAGGGUAAAAGCCUACCAAGGCGACGAUCCAUAGCUUGUCUGAGAGGAUGAUCAGCCACACUGGGACUGAGACACGGCCCAGACUCCUACGGGAAGCAGCAGUGGGGAAUAUUGGACAAUGGGCGAAAGCCUGAUCCAGCAAUGCCGCGUGAGUGAUGAAGGCCUUAGGGUUGUAAAGCUCUUUUACCCGGGAUGAUAAUGACAGUACCGGGAGAAUAAGCUCCGGCUAACUCCGUG
Molecule: ribosomal RNA, 433 nt
Filed under: uncultured bacterium
Lineage: Bacteria
Description: partial 16S ribosomal RNA
Rfam family: Bacterial small subunit ribosomal RNA
Source: RNAcentral